AAGAGGAUUGCUUGAGGCCAGGAGUUCAAAGCCAGCCUGGCAACAUAGCAAGACUCUACU
Molecule: non-coding RNA, 60 nt
Filed under: Otolemur garnettii (small-eared galago)
Lineage: Eukaryota; Metazoa; Chordata; Mammalia; Primates; Galagidae
Source: RNAcentral